This 433-nucleotide ribosomal RNA is filed under the name uncultured bacterium. Its description in RNAcentral is "partial 16S ribosomal RNA". It matches the Rfam family "Bacterial small subunit ribosomal RNA", at positions 29 to 507 of the family's 1533-position model. The record is from RNAcentral.
AACGAACGCUGGCGGCAUGCCUAACACAUGCAAGUCGAACGAGACCUUCGGGUCUAGUGGCGCACGGGUGCGUAACGCGUGGGAACCUGCCCUUAGGUUCGGUAUAACUCCCCGAAAGGGGUCCUAAUACCGGAUAAUGUCUUCGGACCAAAGAUUUAUCGCCUUUGGAUGGGCCCGCGUUGGAUUAGCUAGUUGGUAGGGUAAAAGCCUACCAACGCGACGAUCCAUAGCUGGUCUGAGAGGAUGAUCAGCAACACUGGGACUGCGACACGGCCCAGACUGCUACGGGAGGGAGCAGUGGGGAAUAUUGUACAAUGGGCGAAGGUGUGAUACAGCAACGCCGGGGGAGUGAUGAAGGCCUUAGGGUUGUAAAGCUCUUUUACCCGGGACGAUAAUGACAGUACCGGGAGAAUAAGCUCCGGCUAACUCCGUG